This 500-nucleotide ribosomal RNA is filed under the name uncultured bacterium. RNAcentral's name for it is "partial 16S ribosomal RNA". It matches the Rfam family "Bacterial small subunit ribosomal RNA", at positions 30 to 523 of the family's 1533-position model. The record is from RNAcentral.
AUUGAACGCUGGCGGAAUGCUUUACACAUGCAAGUCGAACGGCAGCACGGACUUCGGUCUGGUGGCGAGUGGCGAACGGGUGAGUAAUGUAUCGGAACGUGCCCAGUCGUGGGGGAUAACGUAGUGAAAAUUACGCUAAUACCGCAUACGAUCUAGGGAUGAAAGCGGGGGAUCGCAAGACCUCGCGCGAUUGGAGCGGCCGAUAUCAGAUUAGGUAGUUGGUGGGGUAAAGGCCCACCAAGCCAACGAUCUGUAGCUGGUCUGAGAGGACGACCAGCCACACUGGAACUGAGACACGGUCCAGACUCCUACGGGAGGCAGCAGUGGGGAAUUUUGGACAAUGGGCAAAAGCCUGAUCCAGCCAUUCCGCGUGCAGGAUGAAGGCCCUCGGGUUGUAAACCGCUUUUGUACAGAACGGAAAGGUUUCUACUAAUACUAGGAGCUCAUGACGGUACUGUAAGAAUAAGCACCGGCUAACUACGUGCCAGCCGCCGCUGUAA